RNAcentral lists this non-coding RNA (158 nucleotides) under Candidatus Omnitrophota bacterium. Its description in RNAcentral is "6S RNA". It matches the Rfam family "6S / SsrS RNA". From Rfam's summary of the family: E. coli 6S RNA was the first non coding RNA to be sequenced, but its function was unknown until recently. It consists of 184 nucleotides that fold into an extended hairpin structure with a large single-stranded internal bulge. The 6S RNA specifically associates with RNA polymerase holoenzyme containing the sigma70 specificity factor. Lineage: Bacteria; Pseudomonadati; Candidatus Omnitrophota. The record is from RNAcentral.
UCGACCCUGCGGUGCACGUUGGAAAAUUGAUAAUUUUUGAACCAACACUAUUAUCAAGGGAGCCCGACUAUUCCGUACGCUAACGCGCCCGGAUAGGGCACCCACCUGAUACCAAACGGUUCAGAGUAUCGUUCCAACGGCACUUGCGCGGGGUUUUU